CCCCGGGUGGCUCAGUCGGUUAAGCGUCCGACUUCAGCUCGGGUCAUGAUCUCACAGUUUGUGAGUUCAAGCCCCGCCUCGGGCU
RNAcentral lists this transfer RNA (85 nucleotides) under Felis catus (domestic cat). It matches the Rfam family "tRNA". From Rfam's summary of the family: Transfer RNA (tRNA) molecules are approximately 80 nucleotides in length. Their secondary structure includes four short double-helical elements and three loops (D, anti-codon, and T loops). Further hydrogen bonds mediate the characteristic L-shaped molecular structure. tRNAs have two regions of fundamental functional importance: the anti-codon, which is responsible for specific mRNA codon recognition, and the 3' end, to which the tRNAs corresponding amino acid is attached (by aminoacyl-tRNA synthetases). tRNAs cope with the degeneracy of the genetic code in two manners: having more than one tRNA (with a specific anti-codon) for a particular amino acid; and 'wobble' base-pairing, i.e. permitting non-standard base-pairing at the 3rd anti-codon position. Lineage: Eukaryota; Metazoa; Chordata; Mammalia; Carnivora; Felidae. The record is from Rfam by way of RNAcentral.